UCCCUGGUAGCUCAGAGGUUAAGGCAUCUGCCUGCAAUGCAGGAGACCUGGGUUCGAUCCCAGGGUUGGGAA
RNAcentral lists this transfer RNA (72 nucleotides) under Ovis aries (sheep). It matches the Rfam family "tRNA". Rfam says of the family: Transfer RNA (tRNA) molecules are approximately 80 nucleotides in length. Their secondary structure includes four short double-helical elements and three loops (D, anti-codon, and T loops). Lineage: Eukaryota; Metazoa; Chordata; Mammalia; Artiodactyla; Bovidae. The record is from Rfam by way of RNAcentral.